UACGGAGGGUGCAAGCGUUAUCCGGAUUCACUGGGUUUAAAGGGUGCGUAGGCGGGUUGAUAAGUCCGUGGUGAAAUCUCCGAGCUUAACUCGGAAACUGCCGUGGAUACUAUCGGUCUUGAAUGUCGUGGAGGUAAGCGGAAUAUGUCAUGUAGCGGUGAAAUGCUUAGAUAUGACAUAGAACACCAAUUGCGUAGGCAGCUUACUACACGAUUAUUGACGCUGAGGCACGAAAGCGUGGGGAUCAAACAGG
This 253-nucleotide ribosomal RNA is filed under the name uncultured bacterium. Its description in RNAcentral is "partial 16S ribosomal RNA". It matches the Rfam family "Bacterial small subunit ribosomal RNA", at positions 524 to 776 of the family's 1533-position model. The record is from RNAcentral.